Molecule: ribosomal RNA, 483 nt
Filed under: Thinophilus asiobates
Lineage: Eukaryota; Metazoa; Arthropoda; Insecta; Diptera; Dolichopodidae
Description: partial 16S ribosomal RNA
Rfam family: Bacterial large subunit ribosomal RNA (bases 352-483)
Source: RNAcentral
CACUGAUUAAUUUAAAUGGCCGCAGUAUUUUAACUGUGCAAAGGUAGCAUAAUAAUUAGUUUUUUAAUUGAAGGCUGGAAUGAAUGAUUGGACGAGGCAUAAUCUGUCUCAUUAAUAUAAGUAUAAUUUUAUUUUUUAGUCAAAAAGCUAAAAUGAUUUUAAAAGACGAGAAGACCCUAUAGAUCUUUAUAUUAUUAUUUUUAUUAUUAUUUGUAGAUAUAUUUUUAUAAUAUUUUUAAUAAUAUUUUGUUGGGGUGAUAUUGAAAUUUAAUUAACUUUCAAUUUUUAUUUUACAUUAAUUUAUGAAUUUUUGAUCCAGUAAUAUUGAUUAUAAAUUUAAGUUACCUUAGGGAUAACAGCGUAAUUAUUUUGGAGAGUUCUUAUCGAUAAAAUAGGUUGCGACCUCGAUGUUGGAUUAAGAUUAAUCUUAGGUGUAGUAAUUUAAGGUAUUAAGUCUGUUCGACUUUUAAUUUCUUACAUGAU